RNAcentral lists this ribosomal RNA (508 nucleotides) under uncultured bacterium. RNAcentral describes it as "bacterial SSU rRNA". It matches the Rfam family "Bacterial small subunit ribosomal RNA", at positions 8 to 526 of the family's 1533-position model. The record is from RNAcentral.
AGAGUUUGAUCCUGGCUCAGGAUGAACGCUGGCGGCGUGCCUAAUACAUGCAAGUCGAACGAGGUGCUUUUGUAGCAAUACGAGAGUAUCCUAGUGGCGAACGGGUGAGUAACGCGUUGGUGACCUACCCCAAAGUGUGGGAUAACAGUCCGAAAGGAUUGCUAAUACCGCAUGUGGUCAUUGGAUUUAGAAACUGAUGACUAAAGGAGCAAUUCGCUUUGGGAGGGACCUGCGUCCCAUCAGCUAGUUGGUGAGGUAAUGGCUCACCAAGGCGACGACGGGUAGGGGACCUGAGAGGGUGACCCCCCACAAUGGAACUGAAACACGGUCCAUACACCUACGGGUGGCAGCAGUAGGGAAUAUUGCACAAUGGGCGAAAGCCUGAUGCAGCAACGCCGCGUGUGUGAUGAAGGCCUUCGGGUCGUAAAGCACUUUUCUGGGAGAUGAGAAAGGACAGUAUCCCAGGAAUAAGUCUCGGCUAACUACGUGCCAGCCGCCGCGGUAAUAC